RNAcentral lists this ribosomal RNA (301 nucleotides) under uncultured bacterium. RNAcentral describes it as "partial 16S ribosomal RNA". It matches the Rfam family "Bacterial small subunit ribosomal RNA", at positions 509 to 807 of the family's 1533-position model. The record is from RNAcentral.
CAGUCGCCACGGUAAAACGUAGAUGGCAAGCGUUGUCCGGAAUUAUUGGGCGUAAAGGGCUCGCAGGCGGUUUCUUAAGUCUGAUGUGAAAGCCCCCGGCUCAACCGGGGAGGGUCAUUGGAAACUGGGAAACUUGAGUGCAGAAGAGGAGAGUGGAAUUCCACGUGUAGCGGUGAAAUGCGUAGAGAUGUGGAGGAACACCAGUGGCGAAGGCGUCUCUCUGGUCUGUAACUGACGCUGAGGAGCGAAAGCGUGGGGAGCGAACAGGAUUAGAUACCCCAGUAGUCCCUGUCUCUUAUAC